Molecule: non-coding RNA, 1719 nt
Organism: Ictidomys tridecemlineatus (thirteen-lined ground squirrel)
Lineage: Eukaryota; Metazoa; Chordata; Mammalia; Rodentia; Sciuridae
Source: RefSeq, a predicted model, not a curated record
CCUGGAAGCGACCAGAGAGAACGUGGCAGCAGAAUUCUAGGACAGUCCCCCAGGUCCCCAUGUCCUGGCAUGUAGGCUCUGAGCCCCUCCCCUGGCCUGGGCAUAGGAUGGAGCUUUGCUACAUUAUAUGGCAAAAGCAGAGGGUUUUGCUGAUGCACCCCAGCCAGCGCUCCUAUGUGAAGAGUCCCAGAGACACUGGCUAUGUAACCAGAAGAAGAGCCCAGAAAGCAGUGCGGGCAGAGGGGCAGCCCCUGCAGGCCGGCCCCGACGUCUGGAGCCCUACCUUGUUAUCGCCCAUCGACCACUGGCCAUAGUGCUCCAUCUCCUCCACCAGCUCGUCACAGGCUGCCUCAGUGAAGAUGGGGAACCAGUAGACAUCGGGGCAGGGCUGGAGAGAGCGAGGGCCCAGUCUCAGAGGGCUGCAGGGCGACCCCUGCAUCUUCCCUAUGAUGCUGAGCCUGCUGCAGGGCCCCUAGGGAGCUCACGUCCACUACACCUCAGAGCCCUCUGGGACCCCUGAGUGACUCCGAGCAGCAGUGACUCUCAGACCAGGUGAGCUACUGAAAGUGGGAGGCAGAGCUCAAGAUGGGCUUGCCCAGCCAGCUCACAGAGCUACCAGAACAGCAUCACAAAGGAACGUGCACACCGAGGGCCCCAGGGGAACGGACAUGGAAGACAGGACAGACAGCCACUCCUCAGCUGGCACAGGGGCCACAGCAGAGACCCAUUCAGAUGUGUUUCCCUCUGCAGGCCUCGGCCAGGGAAGAGGCCUACGGGCCCUGAGGCCCCUGCAGGCUCACGGAGGGCCCAUCCCGCCACCAACUCCUCUUGUCACCCCUCACCCAGCAGCAGGUGAAGGCCCAGCAGAAGGGGAGGCCCUGGCAGCAGGCCCGAGUGUGAAUCUGGAGCUUACCGUCUCCACCAGCUUCCCCGCCAGGGCCUUGGUGUAAUUCUCAUGGAUGUACUUCUCCUUCCAGUCCUGUAGGGUGGGAACCAGGCUGGGCCCUCGGGUCUGGCCUGAGCCAGGGGCUCACCACUUGCUCAAACCACAGGACGCUCCAAGAAGGGAGCUUCUGACGGGCUCCUCAACAUGAACAUUGUCCCAACUGUCUCCUUUGAUCAUGAUGACGCCCUCAGGGACAAGACAGGCUGAGGUAGCAUACCCAUUCUACAGCCAAGACAAACCAAGACAAUCAAGGCCCAAAAGUGUACCAGCUGAAGGGCCACAGAGAGGUCAGCCAGCCCUGAGGCAUGACCAGCUGCCACAACGGUCCGACUCCCAGACUCCCACCCUCGGCUUCCGCACUUACAAGACAGAGGCUUAGAGCCUGGCAACCGGCAUCGAGUGCCCUGAAAACCUGGGCUCAGCAAUCUACGGUCCCUGGACCAAAUCUUCCCACUGCCUGGUUUUGAACUGCUUAUGAGUGAAAAAAAAUGAUGUUCUGUGUUUCAAUGACUGGGGCAGAAAAAAGAACAUCAGAAGAUUACGUGGAAGUCAAACUUCAGUGUCCCUAAAUAAAGCGCGGUCCCAGUCAUUCAUUACAUGACAUCUGUGACUGGCACUGUGCUGCAAGGACUGAGCCCAGCAGUUGCAACCGAUGACCCCACAAAGCCGAUUGGCAAAUCCGUUUACACUCUAGAGCUUUGGAGGAAGUUGGCCAACCCUGAUCUGGAUUCUUCUACAAUCAACACAAACUACUUGCGUCUUUUUUUGUGUGU